Molecule: ribosomal RNA, 498 nt
Filed under: uncultured bacterium
Lineage: Bacteria
Description: partial 16S ribosomal RNA
Rfam family: Bacterial small subunit ribosomal RNA
Source: RNAcentral
AUUGAACGCUGGCGGCAUGCUUUACACAUGCAAGUCGAACGGUAACAGGCCGCAAGGUGCUGACGAGUGGCGAACGGGUGAGUAAUGCAUCGGAACGUGCCCAGUCGUGGGGGAUAACGCAGCGAAAGCUGUGCUAAUACCGCAUACGAUCUAUGGAUGAAAGCGGGGGACCGUAAGGCCUCGCGCAAUUGGAGCGGCCGAUGUCAGAUUAGGUAGUUGGUGGGGUAAAGGCCCACCAAGCCAACGAUCUGUAGCUGGUCUGAGAGGACGACCAGCCACACUGGGACUGGGACACGGCCCAGACUCCUACGGGAGGCAGCAGUGGGGAAUUUUGGACAAUGGGCGCAAGCCUGAUCCAGCAAUGCCGCGUGCAGGAAGAAGGCCUUCGGGUUGUAAACUGCUUUUGUACGGAACGAAAAGGUCUGGGUUAAUACCCUGGGCCGAUGACGGUACCGUAAGAAUAAGCACCGGCUAACUACGUGCCAGCAGCCGCCGUAA